UUUCCGUAGGUGAACCUGCGGAAGGAUCAUUAAAGAGUAAGGGUCUUCGGGCCCGGUCUCCAACCCUUUGUUUAACUACCAUGUUGCUUUGGCGGGCCCGUCUCACGACCGCCGGAAGUUUGGCUUCGACCAAACUUCUGGCCCGUGCCCGUCAGUGGCCCCUUCAAAUUCUUGAUCAAGUAUGAUGUCUUAGUUAAAAACUUAAUAGUUAAAACUUUCAACAACGGAUCUCUUGGUUCUG
This 241-nucleotide unclassified non-coding RNA is filed under the name plant metagenome. RNAcentral's name for it is "partial contains small subunit ribosomal RNA, internal transcribed spacer 1, and 5.8S ribosomal RNA". The record is from RNAcentral.